Molecule: long non-coding RNA, 658 nt
Organism: Bactrocera dorsalis (oriental fruit fly)
Lineage: Eukaryota; Metazoa; Arthropoda; Insecta; Diptera; Tephritidae
Exons: 3
Source: RefSeq, a predicted model, not a curated record
UCACAAAGGGGUUGCUUGUGUUUAUUACCAAAUGCUUAGUUUGGUGUGUUGUCUUGUCAUAUCCUGAUUGAUUAAACUUAAAGUUCGUUUGGGCUUAAGUUUGUUCGUACUUGAAUUAUUGUAAUCGAAAAUGUGCAAGUGUUUAGCAGGGAACGUAGCAUGCUGCUGCUUUACCUGUGCGCUAAAUGUUUUAAUUUCAAUUAUAAGCGCAUUUUUUGUGGUCUUCCUAGUCGUCGGCAUAUUGGUCUACUUUAUUUAUUACCAUGAGAACGAAGAUGACACAGCCAACAAAAUAAAAGAUGAGAUAAGAGACGGUUUGGAAAGUGGAUUGGACAAAAUUAAAGGCACAUUUUCAAACUAAUAGAAUUUACCGGCAUAUGAUGUACUAGAUGAAAACUAAAACUAAGGAGUUACUACAUGCUAGAAUAUAAUAGAUAUUAUAUUCUUAUACGCUGAACAUGAUACACAUGUAUUGGAAUAAAGUGCAUUUAAUAUAUAUGUAUAUAUAUACGUGUUCCUUUGUAAUACAAAUUUAUAUUUGAUUGUAUUUACCACUAUUUAAACAAUAUUAACUAUCAAUUUUAUCGAAUAUAAAUUUUUAAUAAAAAAUAAUCUAUUUUAUGUAUGUAUAAAUACAAACAACAUUAAAUCAAAACAA